GGAAGGAUCAUUAUCGUGGGGCUCUGGCCCCGUCGAGAAAAUCACCCUUGCCUUUUUCGAGCACCGUUCUGUUUCCUCGGCAGGCCCGCCUGCCAACGGGGACACAACCAAACCCUCUUGUGUACCUGCAACCGUCUGAGAAGCGAUUAAAACAAUCAAAACUUUCAACAACGGAUCUCUUGGUUCUGGCAUCGAUGAAGAACGCAGCGAAAUGCGAUAAGUAGUGUGAAUUGCAGAAUUCAGUGAAUCAUCGAAUCUUUGAACGCACAUUGCGCCCUUUGGUAUUCCUUAGGGCAUGCCUGUUCGAGCGUCAUUUCAACCCUCAAGCGCAGCUUGGUGUUGGGCGAACCGUCCCCGAACCCCCUCAGGGGGGCCAGCGGACCCGCCUCAAAUGCAUUGGCGGCCGGUACCUUGGCUUCGAGCGCAGCAGAAACGCGGACUCGGGGCCUUGGGGCCGAUCCCCAGAAGCUACCCACUAUGUUUGACCUCGGAUCAGGUAGGGAUACCCGCUGAACUUAAGCAUAUCAAUAAGCGGAGGAAAAGAAACCAACAGGGAUUGCCCUAGUAACGGCGAGUGAAGCGGCAACAGCUCAAAUUUGAAAUCUGGCCCCUUUGGGGCCCGAGUUGUAAUUUGUAGAGGGUGUUUCGGCGAUGGCUGCGGCCUAAGUUCCUUGGAACAGGACGUCACAGAGGGUGAGAAUCCCGUGUGUGGCUGCCAGCCUGCGCCGUGAGAAGCCCCUUCGACGAGUCGAGUUGUUUGGGAAUGCAGCUCUAAAUGGGAGGUAAAUUUCUUCUAAAGCUAAAUACUGGCCAGAGACCGAUAGCGCACAAGUAGAGUGAUCGAAAGAUGAAAAGCACUUUGGAAAGAGAGUCAAAAAGCACGUGAAAUUGUUGAAAGGGAAGCGCUUGCAGCCAGACUUGCCCGCAGUUGCUCACCGGGUCCUACGGGCCCGGGCACUCUUCUGCGGGCAGGCCAGCAUCAGUCCGGGCGGUGGGAUAAAUGCCUGCUAAACGUACCUCUCCUCGGGGAGGACUUAUAGGGUAGGCGGCAUGCCACCAGCCGGGACUGAGGUCCGCGCAUCUGCUAGGAUGCUGGCGUAAUGGCUGUAAGCGGCCCGUCUUGAAACACGGACCAAGGAGUCUAACAUCUAUGCGAGUGUUUGGGUGUCAAGCCCGGGCGCGCAAUGAAAGUGAACGGAGGUGGGAACCCCUCGGGGCGCACCAUCGACCGAUCCUGAUGUCUUCGGAUGGAUUUGAGUAAGAGCAUAGCUGUUGGGACCCGAAAGAUGGUGAACUAUGCCUGAAUAGGGUGAAGCCAGAGGAAACUCUGGUGGAGGCUCGCAGCGGUUCUGACGUGCAAAUCGAUCGUCAAAUUUGGGCAUAGGGGCGAAAGACUAAUCGAACCAUCUAGUAGCUGGUUCCUGC
RNAcentral lists this unclassified non-coding RNA (1425 nucleotides) under uncultured Pleosporales. RNAcentral's name for it is "sequence contains 18S rRNA gene, ITS1, 5.8S rRNA gene, ITS2, 28S rRNA gene". The stretch from base 483 to 1425 matches the Rfam family "Eukaryotic large subunit ribosomal RNA", at positions 1 to 961 of the family's 3401-position model. Lineage: Eukaryota; Fungi; Ascomycota; Dothideomycetes; Pleosporales. The record is from RNAcentral.